AUGGUUCCUCCAGAGCCUCGAGAACCAGCAGCAGAAGACAAGAAGAAGGAAAGAGUCGCAGCCGGUGCUCCUUUCACGUGGAUUACUGAGCACUUUGAUACUUGCCCUCAGGAAGCUAAUGAGGACACAGUCAAGACAUAUGCUCGUGUCUACAUGUGGUAUGUGAUAUCCAGGACUAUAUUUGCUGAUGGCACAGGCAAGAAUGCUCCAUGGAUGUGGCUGAAGGCGUUGACCGUCUUCGAUAGCAAUUGGAGUUGGGGUUCGGCGACACUGGCUUACUUGUAUAGACAGGUAUGA
RNAcentral lists this ribosomal RNA (297 nucleotides) under Triticum aestivum (bread wheat). RNAcentral's name for it is "partial small subunit ribosomal RNA". The record is from RNAcentral. Lineage: Eukaryota; Viridiplantae; Streptophyta; Magnoliopsida; Poales; Poaceae.